Molecule: non-coding RNA, 21 nt
Organism: Caenorhabditis elegans
Lineage: Eukaryota; Metazoa; Nematoda; Chromadorea; Rhabditida; Rhabditidae
Source: Ensembl
UAGACAGAUUGGCCUGUAAUU